This 403-nucleotide ribosomal RNA is filed under the name uncultured bacterium. Its description in RNAcentral is "partial 16S ribosomal RNA". It matches the Rfam family "Bacterial small subunit ribosomal RNA", at positions 28 to 526 of the family's 1533-position model. The record is from RNAcentral.
GACGAACGCUGGCGGCGUGCCUAAUACAUGCAAGUCGAACGCAGUGGGGACGGGGGAGGGACACGUGGGUAACCUCCCAUCAGAGGGGAUAACACUUGGAAACAGGUGCUAAUCCGAUACUGAUGGAUGGACCCGCGGGGCAUGAGCUAGUUGGGGGGGUAAAGGCCCACCAAGGCCACGAUGCUUAGCUGACCUGAGAGGGUGAUCUGCCACACUGGGACUGAGACACGGCCCAGACUCCUACGGGAGGCAGCAGUAGGGAAUCUUGGGCAAUGGGCGAAAGUCUGAACGAGCCACGCCGCGUGAUUGAAGAAGGUUUUCGGAUCGUAAAACUCUGUUGUUAGAGAAGCGGUAUCUAACCAGAAAGCCACGGCUAACUACGUGCCAGCAGCCGCGGUAAUUC